Molecule: small nuclear RNA, 87 nt
Filed under: Pteropus vampyrus (large flying fox)
Lineage: Eukaryota; Metazoa; Chordata; Mammalia; Chiroptera; Pteropodidae
Source: RNAcentral
GUGCUAGCUUCAGCAGCACACAUACAGAGAUUAGCAUGGUCCCUGGGCAAUAAUGGCACAACAAUUUGUGAAGCAUUCCAUAUUUAA